Molecule: ribosomal RNA, 253 nt
Filed under: uncultured bacterium
Lineage: Bacteria
Description: partial 16S ribosomal RNA
Rfam family: Bacterial small subunit ribosomal RNA
Source: RNAcentral
GACGUAGGGCGCGAGCGUUGUCCGGAAUUAUUGGGCGUAAAGAGCUCGUAGGCGGUCUGUCGCGUCGGAUGUGAAAACCCAGGGCUCAACCCUGGGCCUGCAUUCGAUACGGGCAGACUAGAGUUCGGUAGGGGAGACUGGAAUUCCUGGUGUAGCGGUGAAAUGCGCAGAUAUCAGGAGGAACACCGGUGGCGAAGGCGGGUCUCUGGGCCGAUACUGACGCUGAGGAGCGAAAGCGUGGGGAGCGAACAGG